Long non-coding RNA from Myripristis murdjan (pinecone soldierfish), 307 nucleotides. RefSeq lists it as uncharacterized. NCBI's taxonomy places the organism in Eukaryota, Metazoa, Chordata, Actinopteri, Holocentriformes, Holocentridae. The transcript has 3 exons. The record is from RefSeq and is a predicted model, not a curated record.
UCACCUGCUCUUUACAAUGAAGCUCUUGUUGUCUCUCUGUCUCAUCUGGGUCCUUGUCAACACAGCUGAAGCAAUUCACUGUCUGCUGUGCAAGGAUUAUCCUGAGUGCAGAGAGGUUUUCUCAUACAGCUGUUCCUCCGACAUGCUGUGUUCCACAAGGCACGUCAAAUUACAGGUAAUGGGAAUAUCCUCGCUGCACGUCGACAAGGUCUGUGUGUCAACCUCGAAGUGCAUAGUAGGAACUGCGAAUUAUUCAAUACACUUGGGUUCCAUGAGAGUAGUUGCAGCUGUUGAGUGCUGUGACGCA